UACGUAGGGGGCAAGCGUUGUCCGGAAUUAUUGGGCGUAAAGGGCGCGUAGGCGGUCAGCACAAGUCAGUUGUGAAAUCUCCGGGCUUAACUCGGAAAGGUCAACUGAUACUGUGCGACUAGAGUGCAGAAGGGGCAACUGGAAUUCUCGGUGUAGCGGUGAAAUGCGUAGAUAUCGAGAGGAACACCUGCGGCGAAGGCGGGUUUGCUGGGCUGACACUGACGCUGAUGCGCGAAAGCCAGGGAGCGAAGCGGG
This 255-nucleotide ribosomal RNA is filed under the name uncultured bacterium. RNAcentral describes it as "partial 16S ribosomal RNA". It matches the Rfam family "Bacterial small subunit ribosomal RNA", at positions 524 to 776 of the family's 1533-position model. The record is from RNAcentral.